GACGAACGCUGGCGGCGUGCCUAACACAUGCAAGUCGAGCGGAGUCAGUAAGAGGAAGUUUUCGGAUGGAAUCUUAUUGAUUUAGCGGCGGACGGGUGAGUAACGCGUGAGCGACCAACCUUGCACAGGGGGAUAACGGACCGAAAGGUUCACUAAUACCGCAUGAGACCACGGUGUUGCAUGACACAGGGGUCAAAGGAGUAAUCCGGUGCAAGACGGGCUCGCGUCCGAUUUGGUAGUUGGAGGGGUAACGGCCCACCAAGCCUAUGAUCGGUAGCCGACGUGAGAGGGUGAUCGGGCACAUUGGAACGGAGAUACGGUCCAAACUCCUACGGGAGGCAGCAGUGGGGAAUAUUGGGCAAUGGGGGAAACCCUGACCCAGCAACGCCGCGUGAAGGAAGAAGGUUUUCGGAUUGUAAACUUCUGUCCUUGGUGAAGAGAAGAAGACGGUAGCCAAGGAGGAAGCCCCGGCUAACUACGUGCCAGCAGCCGCGGUAA
This 498-nucleotide ribosomal RNA is filed under the name uncultured bacterium. RNAcentral describes it as "partial 16S ribosomal RNA". It matches the Rfam family "Bacterial small subunit ribosomal RNA", at positions 28 to 523 of the family's 1533-position model. The record is from RNAcentral.